Molecule: transfer RNA, 75 nt
Filed under: Gaiellaceae bacterium
Lineage: Bacteria; Bacillati; Actinomycetota; Thermoleophilia; Gaiellales; Gaiellaceae
Also listed under: 2 other names
Description: tRNA-Pro
Rfam family: tRNA
About the family: Transfer RNA (tRNA) molecules are approximately 80 nucleotides in length.
Source: RNAcentral
CGGGAUGUAGCUCAGCCUGGUCAGAGCGCCGCGUUUGGGACGCGGAGGCCGCCGGUUCGAAUCCGGCCGUCCCGA